RNAcentral lists this ribosomal RNA (253 nucleotides) under uncultured bacterium. RNAcentral's name for it is "partial 16S ribosomal RNA". It matches the Rfam family "Bacterial small subunit ribosomal RNA", at positions 524 to 776 of the family's 1533-position model. The record is from RNAcentral.
UACGUAGGGACCAAGCGUUGUUCGGAUUUACUGGGCGUAAAGGGCGCGUAGGCGGCGUGACAAGUCACUUGUGAAAUCUCCGGGCUUAACCCGGAACGGCCAAGUGAUACUGUCGUGCUAGAGUGCAGAAGGGGCAAUCGGAAUUCUUGGUGUAGCGGUGAAAUGCGUAGAUAUCAGGAGGAACACCGGUGGCGAAGGCGCCCACCUGGCCUGCUACUGACGCUGAAACUCGAAAGCUAGGGGAGCAAACGGG